GGCUUUCUCACCGAACCUCUUGGUUUUGAACCCUUGCAUUCUGGCUUCUGUCUAGAUGGCUCUACUGAGAAGUUCUUGAGAUGCUAAGAUUCCUCUUGUCAUCAAGGCUGAAGACUGGGAAACAUCCAAACCUCUAGUCCAUGUGAAUCUCAAUUAUGAGAAAACUGGUGGGGACUUGGAUGAAUCUGGAAACCAUCAUUCUCAGCAAACUGACACAAGAACAGAAAGCCAAACAUCGCAUGUACUCACUCAUAGAUCUGAAAUUAUUCUGCAUUGACUGAAUAAGGACAGUGGGAGACUGCUUACAAAAUAACCAACUUCUAAACUUUGACUUCCUGCUCACUCGACUAUGGCCACCAAGUAAUAUCUGGCACUACCAGACGUGGGGAAAUAAAAGCCUAUGUGAUCACUAAGAGAAGCCCACUGGCAUUUAAUGUUCUCUAUUUCUCUCCUUCCUCAUAUGCCUUUAGGAUUAAAGCCUGGGCCACCUAAUCAACUUGGAGCUGACAUAUUAAACAGUCAAAGGACAAAAGCUGGAAAGGUCUACCAUGUACCCCUCAAACCCGAACCUUGGGAAGAUUUCUAGUCAUUUCCAUGUGAAAGGGUAUUUUUCAUUGGAUGAACUCCAAAUGUUUCUGAAGAGCAUUUAUGAUGGGCUGAGAUAGUAGCCUGGUGAGAAUAGCAUGAGAUGAAACGCGUUACCUUCCUUCUCCUGCCUUCUUUCCUCCAUACUAGAAGGCUGAAUCUGGGCUACAGAUGCCCAGAAUGUGAUUUUUAAUAAAAUGAGUUAUAGUAGCAAGAAGGAGAGUGAGGGAUAGUAUGAAGAUUAACAGCAUGGAGUGAGAGAGACUAGACUGUGGGAUUCAGGCCUCACCAUGUAUUAGAUGUGCACCUUUGGGUAAGUAACUUAACCUCUCUGAACCACUGUCCUCUUCUUGAUCAAAUGGGGAUAACAUAUAACAAACUUUUCACAUUAGCUGUAUAAUAAAAAUAAAUGAUGCACAUAAAGCUAUUAUUCUGUUUCUUUGUUUUGUUUUACUUUUGAGAUGGAGUCUUACUCUGUCACCCAGAUUACUGUGCAGUAGUAUGAUCUGAGCUCACUACAACCUUCACCUCCCAAGUUCAAGUGAUUCUCAUGCCUCAGCCUCUCGAGUAGCUGGGAUUAUAAGUGCCCAUCACCACACCUGGCUCAUUUUUGUAUUUUUAGUAGAGACAGCGUUUUGCCAUG
Molecule: long non-coding RNA, 1228 nt
Organism: Callithrix jacchus (white-tufted-ear marmoset)
Lineage: Eukaryota; Metazoa; Chordata; Mammalia; Primates; Cebidae
Source: RefSeq, a predicted model, not a curated record